GAUGAUAAUAAUAAACUGGAAUUUAGAAUUCGACAACAGUAAUGGAAAUUGCAAUUGAAAUAUGAGUAAUUGUUCUUAAAAGAAACUAAAAUACGUAAACGACAAUAGUUGUUCUUCAACUGAGUUCUUCAGGUCUAUUUAUAGGGAAAAAUCUGCUCUGAAGUGCUUCUGAUCAUGUCUCAAGUAGUGGAGAAAAUGAAGAAAGUGGGCAAACUGCUUCUGAAACGUGGGAAAAGAAUAGGUCAGGCUUUUACUUCCCACUGACUUCUGACUUUUUAACCUUCUUUUCCAUUUUUACCCUUUCUUUCCUUUUUUCGCCGAAUUUCAUCAUUUUGACGCGCGGAGACCUUUAACCGAUAAAUACCUGAAAUAGACACACACUACC
This 385-nucleotide long non-coding RNA is filed under the name Medicago truncatula (barrel medic). Its description in RNAcentral is "long non-coding RNA (MTRU_LNC006794)". Lineage: Eukaryota; Viridiplantae; Streptophyta; Magnoliopsida; Fabales; Fabaceae. The record is from RNAcentral.